UGUAUCGCAAUGAUUAGCGGGUUGGACUUCUAAUCCAAAAGUCGUAGGUUCGAAUCCCCCAAAG
Molecule: non-coding RNA, 64 nt
Organism: Trichonephila clavipes
Lineage: Eukaryota; Metazoa; Arthropoda; Arachnida; Araneae; Nephilidae
Source: the annotation of a GenBank genome assembly